Molecule: ribosomal RNA, 165 nt
Filed under: bacterium
Lineage: Bacteria
Description: partial 16S ribosomal RNA
Rfam family: Bacterial small subunit ribosomal RNA
Source: RNAcentral
CCUAGGGGAGGCAGCAGUGGGGAAUUUUGCGCAAGCGGGGAAACCUAUUCGCAGCAAGGCGGCGUGAGUGAAGAAGGCCUUCGGGUGGAAAAGGUAAGUCAUGGGGAAGAACUCUCGCCUUAAGGGGCGGGCGAUAUGACGCACGCNCGGACNANCCCCCGUUCC